GAGGCAGAAGAGGUGCUCUGCUUCCGAGCAGUCGAGAAAAAGGUGGCUGCAGUUUAAACCGCCAGCCGGCAGACUUUCCCUUCGUCCUUCUCAGUGCAGAUGUCACCUAUUACUCCACGCAUGGCCCGAACCAAAAGGCAAGCAGCUCUGUCAGCAUGUGAAUUACUGCCUUUCUCUGGAUGCCUGGUGAAACACUGUCGAAAAAUGCACAAGAUGGGUAAAAAAAAAAAACUUGACUUGCGAUUCUGAGAGAUACCCAGCUAUCCAGGAAAUGCCAGUAUCCAGAUUGAUAGACUACCAUGCAUGAGACAUCAUUUACAGUGCUUGCAUUUGAAGACAGCAACUCCUGUUGGUGAGACGCAGGAUGGUUUUAUUCAUGUAUACUGUGGUGAUGUACAGGUCUGUAUAAAUUUACCUCCAGCCAAGGGCUAGGCUGUACCAGGAUGCUGUGAAAGCAAGAGAAAUCAAAAGGAAACACCACUGUCUAUCGAGCUGUGCUGUACCACUGUGUGGUACUGACAGGAUAUGACAAGAAGCUGUCAGAAGUGUUUCAUUUGCAUAAUUCACUAUGCAGGCAGCCUCCGGACAGCUUUAAGAACCCUGCAUUAGGAAGUCACACCACUCAUGACAGCCAUUUAAAAUGCAAGAAGCGGCACCUGGUGAAAACUUUGACGUUGGAUUUAGUCUCUUUCUAAGCUGCUGGGUGUUCUUCCAGUAUCAGCACUGCUGGGUCUCUGUGCUUGUCUAGUUCAGCUGAGUGAGAGGAGCGGGGGAAGGGCUGGGAUAUAGGAGCAGGGUGCGAGAACAAUCAGGGAAAGCUGACACGAAUAUUUACUUGUAUGUAUGAGUAUAUGUAUGUGUUUAUGAAUGUAUGUAUGUAUAUAGGGCUCUUCGUUUGACUCAGUUUUCUUAAUUAAAAGCUUGGAAUAACAAGAUCACUUUAGUUUUUUCUAGGGUACCUUGAAUGAGACUAUGAUUCUGUUUCAUUGAUAAUGUAAAAAAAAAAAAAAACAGCUUCUUAUUUUUAAUUCAAGUAUUAUAGACCCAUAUUGUUUUUUUUACACCCUGGCGAAAAGGUCUAAUGGGCCAGUAAACUUACCCAUUUCAUUAUCAGCUUUACAGAUACAAUAGCACUGUACAAUAUGUUCAAUAGGAGGUGCUGUAGUACUGCACCAGGAAAUAACCCAGUGCUCUACUCGCAGUGGGUGAGAAUAGAGAUCUGUUUGGAUAGCUGUGACUAUGGAGAUUACCAGGUAAGCUCUAAACAAGUUUUUUAGAUGUAUUUAUUAAUUUUUGCAAUGACGUUUAUCAGAAUAGGUCUGUUUAGAGGCAGCUGUAGAGAGAAUUUAUUUUUUAAAUUAUUGUCAACAAAAAAUUGAUUCCUAAUAAUGAGCUCAGUCAUUGCUAUACUGCCUGUCGGACCAUAGAGUUUUCUCCUCAUAUUUCUGCUGAAGAGCAAGUACAGUCAUUUUGAAGCUUGCUGAACUGGAAUGAGAAGCUCUUGGCACAAAAAGCCCUUUUCCUUUAGGCAAGGAGUAAAGCAAGAAAGCCUCAGCUGGACCACUAUCAGUCGUCGGUUUAAUGGGACAGCUCCAAAAUGAGAUCUAUUUAUCAUCACACUGGAAUAAAGCAAGUGCUUUCUAUAUGGACGGGUCUACGGGCUGCACUGACGGGGCAUUUUCUUUUAAAUGAGUUAUCCAGAGACUCUUCACAUCCUCUUUGGAGGAUGUGUAUACUUUCAUACACACAAACAUGGGGGUAUGUUGCAAGAGUGUGUGUGUGUUUGUGUGUGUGUGUGUGUGUGCGUGCGUGCAAAAGCAUCUCUGUAGUCAGCAGGGAUGAAAAUAAGGCUUCCAUUGCAUCUACGAUUUUAAUAAGACUAAUAAAGCCUAUUAA
Long non-coding RNA from Acipenser ruthenus (sterlet), 1896 nucleotides. RefSeq lists it as uncharacterized. The transcript has 4 exons. NCBI's taxonomy places the organism in Eukaryota, Metazoa, Chordata, Actinopteri, Acipenseriformes, Acipenseridae. The record is from RefSeq and is a predicted model, not a curated record.